Long non-coding RNA from Dermacentor albipictus, 629 nucleotides. RefSeq lists it as uncharacterized. The record is from RefSeq and is a predicted model, not a curated record. NCBI's taxonomy places the organism in Eukaryota, Metazoa, Arthropoda, Arachnida, Ixodida, Ixodidae.
UGCUCGGUCCAAGAUUUACGUAUUGCGCUAUCUAUUGAGAACUGAAAGCCGAAGACCCAACUGCUAUUCCUUGCAGCUAACUAUGGCUUCGAGACCAUUUGCCUCCUUCCACCUCCUUGUAAAGCUUGUUUUGCUGACAUCAAUAUGGUUAUCGCACGUGCUGGAAUCGAAGGUAUACUCGCCAGAAGAAAGUCUGCGUGGUUUUGUAAGCACGUGGCAUGGAUCUACGGGCAUAAUUGAGCCCCGUAUGGCUUUAUCGGCAUCUAGAAGUUAUCGGCGACGUUAUUAUGGUAUACCGGGAGUGUCUCCUCAUUGCAAGAUGGAAUGUACAAAAGGGAGAAAAUCUCUUUGUUUUACCAGCCCAGGAUGGAAGUCUUGCAUGUGCGCCUGCGUGCCGCCCUAUGAUCCAUGCCCGCCAGUUGGAAGGAAUGCAUGUGCCACUGGCGUCGGCUUCAAAACGAAAUCUACCUAGGAUAUGUGCCUAUGCACAUGUGAUAGCAAUGGAGUCAAAACUUGAUCACGCUGACCUGGGCUCCUUUCACGCAUAUAUACCUGAGCCGUCAACACACCAUUGAUUCAAUAUCCUACAUAAUAAAGUUAUGAGCUAUGUGCGCUCAACACACUUCAAA